UUGGGAGUAGUGGGAGAAUAAGUGAUACUUGGGGAAAGUGUAGGGUUAACAGCCUGUUAAUAUACAGUUGGACAAGCUGUCUAAAGGGCCUUGUGAGACUGAGCUUGCCUUGCAAGUUUGUCACUGGAAAUACCAUUUGUGCAGAGAACACAUACAUUUACAUGUGUAAGGUUCCAUAGGGUGGCUGAGCAGGUAGUUGUAAAACCACUGUGAGCUCACAGCACUAAGAUCUGUUCAUGACCAUAGGAUACUGCAGUCAUACACAAACAGCUGGUAAUUAUGCAUUCAGCAUCUAUAUAUCCUACACUUUCAUGAGGACAAUUGUGGCAUGCUGGAAGAACAUUGCUGGCAGGGUUAAAUUCCUGAGUUAGACACCAUAGUCCCAGCAGAAAACAAUGUAAUACUUUUUAAAGGGAGAAUUAGGAGUACCUAAAUGAGACUUGCAACUUUGAGCAGACUGACUGGAGAGAAGCUGAACACAACGCCCUGGAAAUACCAGAGAGAGAAGUAUGGUUGUAAUUCAGCCAUCACUGGGACAUAGACUCUUCCUUGCAGCUUGAGUUAAUCUCCUCCCUCUGAGGCUGAGAUUCACAGUCUAGAAAUUCUCCCCAAGACACUGGGCAACAUUUCUCACUUCAAGUUUGGCAGAAGAGUACUGGGUUGUGGUUCUUCUUUCCUCCCCAAGGACACAGAUAGAGACUUGCAGCUUAAGCCAAUUUCUGAGGAGUAAUUUUCUACUUUGAUUCCACUCUUUCAACAUACGUGCCUGCCUCCUGCAUGCAAAACCUGAUCUACCACAUCUGAGACUGUCUCCUAGCCCUCCUUUGGCCUUGCCACUACCCAAAGGCAUGGGGCACAAAAUGAACACAUUUGCCUUGGUUACUUUUUAUUUUCUGGGGCCCCAGAAAGAAAGCCCAUAAGUAUGUGUUGUCACCUUUGACUACUGGAGCAAUGGCAGCAUUCAUUUGCUAUACUGUUCAUAAGUAAACCUCCAGUGAUGUGAGUCUUCUGUCUGUUCUCACACUCUUUUACUAAACAUGAAGCUUGUGGCAAAAGCCUGUCAUAUUUAUAUGAGUUGCAAUAACUUUUUACUCCUUAUUUUUCUGCCACAGAAAAAAUAUCUUCCAAACUAUUCCUAACAUUGACAGGAGGAGGAAAGUAACUCUUCAAACAUUCAAAACCCAGUAUUUUUCUAAAGUUUUCAGUUUCAGGAUGCCAAUAUGGUAGAACACAGAAAUCAAGGUGUCACGUGAAGCACGAAGCCAUCUGCCCUUGCCUCCUACUGCUACAGAGUUUUCAAAUGACCAUGAAGGGUGGCAGGCAAGCUCCUGGAGGUGAUGGGCUCAGAAGGUAUAGACCCUGUGGUCAGCAAAAAACUUGAGAUACAGCACUAGCUUUUUACAUAGUUUCAUACGGUAUCGGUAGAAUUUUCCAGUUUUGAGAAGAAAACUUUCAGCAAACUCACCCUUCUGCGGUCGUGCUGAUGUCAGAGGUGUAACAGCAUGAAUCAUUUCAUAUCUGAGAAACUAAGUAGCACUGGAUCUUAGUUAGUCGAAGUACUGACAGUAUUUAUUAUUUCCCUGACAUACAGCUAGGUUAGAGUCUUACUCAUAAUUAUAUCUGUAACCAACAGAUAUAAUUAUAUGAGGCUUAUUUGUAGUCUGUUAAAACAAGGAUGCCCAUAAAAAACCCACCGCAUUAUAUGAUGUUUCCAAGAUACAUUAUUUAUGAUAAACAGCAGCUGUGAAAGUGUAAGUCCCUCCAAGUAAAUGCAGAAGGCAUCUUUCUUGGCAAUUUGUCAGACUGGACUCUGGAGUCAGCAGAGGCUUGAAUGCGAAUGAUGAACUGCACAGCAGCCCACUGUGUGUCUGUAGCCUUGGGAAGGGCAGGCACAGCCCUGACUUUUAAACAAGGACACAUAAACAGAGCCAAAAUGCUGAAAGCCAUCAUUAUAAAGCCUGAGACAAAAUGUUAACAACAACAACAAACAGUUGGGUAACCUUUUUGAAGUGGAUAUACUCCUCUUUCUGUGUUUUCUGAAUCUCCUUAAAUUUUGAUUGGCUUUAGAUUUGAAAGCAGUUGGCAGACAGUCAAAAUUUAAAAUUGAUGAAGUACAAUUGGUCUGUUCAUGGGAUGCUUGGAAAAGAAAAUAAUGAUCUUUCAGACAAAAAUGUUCUGAGGAAGCUAAGCCUCCAUGUCAACAGAUAAGAAAGCAAACAGUGGCACUGAAAUGACUGUAACAAACAGCAUUUAAAAGAAGGUUUUGUCCUGGAGAAAUUAUAGUGAAUUCAGAGGGCUCUGUACUUGGUGAUCUUUAGGAUAUUCUUUCAUGCUUCCAGGACAUGCUGGCAGUAUAACUAAGUCCAGGGGUCACACCUAAUCUGUAUAAACUGCAUUAGUCCAGAGGGAAGACCUGAAAAUCUGCAGCUCGUAGCAUAGAAGAAUGAUAUGCCCUCUAUUGAUCUAAAACUUUUUAAAUGUCAGACCUAAUAAGCAUGGUCUUUUAGACCACAAGCCCCAAACUAAGGGGAAAAAACCAGCAUCAAAACACCAAAACUCACCGAGCCACAGUUGAGGUGGCUUUGAUUAGUGGACAGAUUCAAGAAGGUAUAUAAAAUACAUGUAAAUUAGCCCCCCCUUGGCAAGAUGUGGUGCAUCACUCUGUGUCUGUCACUGUCCUUCCUGAAUGAAAAGCAAUGAACCUUAUGCGAGGGCUGCGGGGUUCUGGCCUGGCAAAGUGCUUGGCUUCCUAAUCUCCCCUGGAUCCUGAGGGCAACCUGUGAGAUGCUAGGAGAUUGAAGAAGCUC
Hirundo rustica (Barn swallow) is the source of this 2807-nucleotide long non-coding RNA. RefSeq lists it as uncharacterized. The record is from RefSeq and is a predicted model, not a curated record. The transcript has 5 exons. NCBI's taxonomy places the organism in Eukaryota, Metazoa, Chordata, Aves, Passeriformes, Hirundinidae.